This is a long non-coding RNA of Dendrobium catenatum, 622 nucleotides long. RefSeq lists it as uncharacterized. The record is from RefSeq and is a predicted model, not a curated record. Lineage: Eukaryota; Viridiplantae; Streptophyta; Magnoliopsida; Asparagales; Orchidaceae. The transcript has 2 exons.
GGUUGGAGAGAAUUUUGCAACGAAAGGAAGAAACGACCGAGGAAAAAUAAGGAAAAAGGUUUGUUGAAAUUUCUUUUAGAUUUUCCUAUAAAUUUCUUCUCCUCCUUCGUUUAAAGUGAGCGAUAUAUUUCUUGAAGGUUAAGGAAGGGAUUGAAGCGAGGAAAAAGGAAAUUUCGGGAAGAAGGAUUUUGGGAGAUUUGGAAAAUCCAAUUAGAUUUGGAGAGAAAUUCGAAGUAACACCCUUCGUCGAAGACCUGAAAAGUUCAAGUGGGUAUUUUUAAAAGUUUAAAAUUUCUUUAUUUCAAUUCUAUUUUUGUUUAGAAAGAAGUAUAUGCGAAAUUGAUUAGAUUUAUGAUUUCUCCUACUUUUGGAGAAAUGAUUAACUAAAAUAAGCAACGACAUGUAUGAGUACAAUUAUAGAAAAGAAAAAGGAUAUGUUAUGAGUAUAUCAAAGAAAUAGAAAGUAAAGUUUAGAAAGAAAACAUACACAUGUACAUGAUUCGUAUAUGCAAAUGAUAAGUAAAAUUUAUAGAGAUGCAAGUAAGAUAUGUUGUAUGCAAUUGUAUCAAUAAUGAUGAAAAUGAGAAAAGAAAAGAAAAGAAAAGAAAAAAAAAAGGAAAAG